AUGUUCAGUGUGGCGUGUCGUGUCAGCCUAGGCAAUGGAGAGAGAGCAAAGUUCUGGACGGAUAAUUGGCUCCCCGAUGGUCAAUCUAUUGCUACAUUAGCUCCGGAGCUGUUCUCCUUUGUGAGGAAUAAAGAAAAAUCGGUAAGAGACGCCAUACAUGGCAGGGCGUGGGUGAGAGACAUCUCUGGAGGCUUAACUCUCAUAGCCAUGGCCCAGUAUCUGAAGAUCUGGGAUAUUGUUCAGGCCACAUCUCUCACAAUUGGUUCAAGGGACCGGCUCGUCUGGAAACUCACGCAUGAUCAUCAGUUCUCAAUCAAGAGCGCGUAUCAAUUGUUGUUCCUCGGGAACACUCGUUCUACGGAGGAUUGGUGGCUGAAGGCGAGGGAGGGGAUCCCAAAACCAAUGAAGAAGAACUUCGAUACUAUUGUCAUCCUUCUCCAUUGGAGGAUUUGGAAGGAAAGAAACGCCAGGAUUUUUGAUAAUGUCGCUAGCUCGGCUGACAGGGUUCGGGACCUGGUAAUACAGGAUAUCGACACAUGGAGGGCAGCAGGAUGCAUUUGUGACCUGAUGACGUGA
Molecule: ribosomal RNA, 576 nt
Filed under: Triticum aestivum (bread wheat)
Lineage: Eukaryota; Viridiplantae; Streptophyta; Magnoliopsida; Poales; Poaceae
Description: partial small subunit ribosomal RNA
Source: RNAcentral